This 760-nucleotide small RNA is filed under the name Pan troglodytes (chimpanzee). RNAcentral describes it as "processed transcript". Lineage: Eukaryota; Metazoa; Chordata; Mammalia; Primates; Hominidae. The record is from RNAcentral.
GCCCGCGGAAACCGGAAGCGGCGGCUGUCCGCGGUGCCGGCUGGGGGCGGAGAGGCGGCGGUGGGCUCCCUGGGGUGUGUGAGCUCGGUGAUGGAGCCGGGCCCGACAGCCGCGCAGCGGAGGUGUUCGUUGCCGCCGUGGCUGCCGCUGGGGCUGCUGCUGUGGUCGGGGCUGGCCCUGGGCGCGCUCCCCUUCGGCAGCAGUCCGCACAGGGUCUUCCACGACCUCCUGUCGGAGCAGCAGUUGCUGGAGGUGGAGGACUUGUCCCUGUCCCUCCUGCAGGGUGGAGGGCUGGGGCCUCUGUCGCUGCCCCCAGACCUGCCGGAUCUGGAUCCUGAGUGCCGGGAGCUGCUGCUGGACUUCGCCAACAGCAGCGCAGAGCUGACAGGGUGUCUGGUGCGCAGCGCCCGGCCCGUGCGCCUCUGUCAGACCUGCUACCCCCUCUUCCAACAGGUCGUCACCAAGAUGGACAACAUCAGCCGAGCCGCUGGGAACCUUAGUUUCCUCCUCUAUAAAGUGGAAAGAACAGCUGCCUAAUGCGGCUGUUGGAAGAAUUAAAAGAGAUAUUGCCUGUGACUUCAUCUUAGUGAUGUGAACAGUCUGGAGCUAGCGGCCAGGACUCCAGUUCCACUCUGCUUAUUAGCGAAUACUUCAGAGAGUCAGAGUUGUGCCAGAAGUCUCUUAAUGGCAGAUAGAAUGCAAAUAGUUGUGAUUCUCUCAGAAUUUUUUAAUACCACAUGGCAGGAGGCAAAUUGUGCAA